GGAUGUGAUAGCUAACUGGGUGUGACAUCUGAUCACCAGGGUUGAUUCGGCUGUUCCGGCUGGCUAGGCAUGUGUCCCCUUCCUCCCUCAUCCUCCUUGUGUGUCCCUCCUGCAGCUCCAUGCUGCUGGAAGAGGAUGACUUUCCCUGCUACAGGAGAACUGGUCUUUGGUGAAGCGCGUAUGAGCAGCUGUGCUCCCCUUAGAGAACCUCCAAACAAGCUCUCAAGAACUAGCCAAAAAACACAUUUUAAGAAAACAUUUUUUUAAGAUUUUAUUUAUUUGUCUGAGAGGUAGAGUUACAGGCAGUG
Molecule: small nuclear RNA, 308 nt
Filed under: Oryctolagus cuniculus (rabbit)
Lineage: Eukaryota; Metazoa; Chordata; Mammalia; Lagomorpha; Leporidae
Description: 7SK RNA
Rfam family: 7SK RNA
About the family: 7SK was discovered as an abundant small nuclear RNA in the mid-70s but a possible function has only recently been suggested. Two independent studies have found that 7SK RNA binds the CDK9/cyclin T complex (known as elongation factor P-TEFb).
Source: Rfam by way of RNAcentral